RNAcentral lists this ribosomal RNA (450 nucleotides) under uncultured bacterium. RNAcentral's name for it is "bacterial SSU rRNA". It matches the Rfam family "Bacterial small subunit ribosomal RNA", at positions 328 to 793 of the family's 1533-position model. The record is from RNAcentral.
CUCUGUGACUCCUACGGGAGGCAGCAGUGGGGAAUAUUGCACAAUGGGCGCAAGCCUGAUGCAGCAACGCCGCGUGAGUGAUGAAGGCCUUCGGGUCGUAAAGCUCUGUCCUCAAGGAAGAAUAAAUGACGGUACUUGAGGAGGAAGCCCCCGGCUAACUACGUGCCAGCAGCCGCGGUAAUACGUAGGGGCAAGCGUUAUCCGGAAUCACUGGGCGUAAAGGGGUGCGUAGGCGGUUUUUCAAGUCAGAAGUGAAAGGCUAUGGCUCAACCAUAGUAAGCUUUUGAAACUGUUAAACUUGAGUGCAGGAGAGGAAAGUGGAAUUCCUAGUGUAGAGGUGAAAUUCGUAGAUAUUAGGAGGAACACCAGUGGCGAAGGCGACUUUCUGGACUGUAACUGACGCUGAGGCACGAAAGCGUGGGGAGCGAACAGGAUUAGAUACCCUGGUGG